Molecule: long non-coding RNA, 575 nt
Organism: Pleuronectes platessa (European plaice)
Lineage: Eukaryota; Metazoa; Chordata; Actinopteri; Pleuronectiformes; Pleuronectidae
Exons: 3
Source: RefSeq, a predicted model, not a curated record
GGAGCGACCUCUCUUCCCUCAGAUCCUGGCGUCCAUCGAGCUGCUGGCUCGCUCAUUACCCAAAAUCCACCGCAGCGCCUCGGAGCCUUCGUUAAACCGCGCCGGCUUCCAGACGGAGGACUUCAGCUUGUACGCCUGCGCCUCCCCCAAAACCCCCAUCCAGGCCUGUGGCUAUGGGGAGUUUUCAGCAUUUAAGUAAGUGCUGCAGAUCCCACCACUCCAUCCCUCGUCACCUCUCAAAAGUCUCGUGUCUCUGCGGUGGAUUAAUUACUGGAGAAAAAAAAUCUAAAGUCGUCUCAAAGAACCUGAAGACGGCAACCAAAAGCUGUCCUGCAGUCAAACAGCCACUGCGACAGACAAAACUGAAUUAGGAAAAAUAAAAAAAGAGCAAACAAAGCAACUUGAAUGACACAAAACGAAAAACAACAUCCACACCAAAACCGUUUCUCCCACCCGCCGGAGGGAGAAGAUGAAGGCGACGAUGAAGGGAGGAGACGCAGCGCUCCCGUCUGACUGGGGGGGGCUGGAGAUGGAAGGUCGGGCGCCGGCCUUGUUCCCCUGCGAGAGCUGGAGGU